AGCUGGAUCUGGAGGUGACGAGCGGGGGACGGGUGAGUAAUGUCUGGGAAACUGCCUGAUGGAGGGGGAUAACUACUGGAAACGGUAGCUAAUACCGCAUAACGUCGCAAGACCAAAGUGGGGGACCUUCGGGCCUCAUGCCAUCAGAUGUGCCCAGAUGGGAUUAGCUAGUAGGUGGGGUAACGGCUCACCUAGGCGACGAUCCCUAGCUGGUCUGAGAGGAUGACCAGCCACACUGGAACUGAGACACGGUCCAGACUCCUACGGGAGGCAGCAGUGGGGAAUAUUGCACAAUGGGCGCAAGCCUGAUGCAGCCAUGCCGCGUGUGUGAAGAAGGCCUUCGGGUUGUAAAGCACUUUCAGCGGGGAGGAAGGCGGUGAGGUUAAUAACCUUGGCGAUUGACGUUACCCGCAGAAGAAGCACCGGCUAACUCCGUGCCAGCAGCCGCGGUAAUACGGAGGGUGCAAGCGUUAAUCGGAAUUACUGGGCGUAAAGCGCACGCAGGCGGUCUGUCAAGUCGGAUGUGAAAUCCCCGGGCUUAACCUGGGAACUGCAUUCCAAACUGGCAGGCUAUAGUCUUGUAGAGGGGGGUAGAAUUCCAGGUGGAGCGGUGAAAUGCGUACAACAUCUUGAAGGAAUACCGGAUUGCCAAGGCGGGCCCCCGG
Molecule: ribosomal RNA, 665 nt
Filed under: Klebsiella pneumoniae
Lineage: Bacteria; Pseudomonadati; Pseudomonadota; Gammaproteobacteria; Enterobacterales; Enterobacteriaceae
Description: bacterial SSU rRNA
Rfam family: Bacterial small subunit ribosomal RNA
Source: RNAcentral